GACGAACGCUGGCGGCGUGCCUAAUACAUGCAAGUAGAGCGCUGAAGGAGGAGCUUGCUUCUCUGGAUGAGUUGCGAACGGGUGAGUAACGCGUAGGUAACCUGCCUGGUAGCGGGGGAUAACUAUUGGAAACGAUAGCUAAUACCGCAUAAUAUUGACUAUUGCAUGAUAGUCAGUUGAAAGGUGCAACUGCACCACUACCAGAUGGACCUGCGUUGUAUUAGCUAGUUGGUGGGGUAACGGCUCACCAAGGCGACGAUACAUAGCCGACCUGAGAGGGUGAUCGGCCACACUGGGACUGAGACACGGCCCAGACUCCUACGGGAGGCAGCAGUAGGGAAUCUUCGGCAAUGGACGGAAGUCUGACCGAGCAACGCCGCGUGAGUGAAGAAGGUUUUCGGAUCGUAAAGCUCUGUUGUAAGAGAAGAACGAGUGUGAGAGUGGAAAGCUCACACUGUGACGGUAUCUUACCAGAAAGGGACGGCUAACUACGUG
RNAcentral lists this ribosomal RNA (495 nucleotides) under uncultured bacterium. RNAcentral describes it as "partial 16S ribosomal RNA". It matches the Rfam family "Bacterial small subunit ribosomal RNA", at positions 28 to 507 of the family's 1533-position model. The record is from RNAcentral.